AAGGGUGCAGUGAUGAACCAUCUUUCGUGGACUAGAGUUUCUGAUCUGGGAAUUUGUCCCAGAAGCUGAAGACUAACCCUUGGCUGUCUGAGUACUCUU
Hevea brasiliensis (rubber tree) is the source of this 99-nucleotide small nucleolar RNA. RefSeq annotates it as small nucleolar RNA Z157/R69/R10. NCBI's taxonomy places the organism in Eukaryota, Viridiplantae, Streptophyta, Magnoliopsida, Malpighiales, Euphorbiaceae. The record is from RefSeq and is a predicted model, not a curated record. The transcript has a single exon.